UCGCGUUUCUAGGUGAGCUAUGAAAUUUGUUUUUUUUAUUUAUAUCCGAAAACCCCUUCCGAACUUAUGACAGUAAAAAAAUUUCCUUUUCACGGGCUAUACGGGGCCAUAGCUGGACAAGAUGAGGCAACUCAAACCAACCAAAAUGCAUGCAUCCUCGGUCAGACACUGCACGCACAUGCAUGUACGCUGCACCGCACAGCUCGCCUCGCCUCGCCCGCUCGGAAGCGACAGGUGAAUUUAGCAAGAAGAAUAUCGAUCCAAUCAGGAGAGACGAAUGCACGGAUCUAGCGGAGCGGAGAAAAGGGGGGCGAGAUGUAGGCGGCGUCCGGCCGUCGUACGAGCGGCUUUGAGCUGUCGUCGUUUCCGCGGUUCGCGCGGCCCCGCCCGCUCCGGAGGCAAUCAUUUGCGCUAGCUAGCUGCAGCGACGGGGAGAGGGAGCCGGCCGGUCGCCGGUGUACGUGCGGCCACCGAAGCUGGACGCGAUCGAUCGCUUUAAUUUGCAUGCGCAUCUGGACCCGGCCCUCAAUCAGGUCGCCAUCCAUCGAUAGAUUUGCUGCUGCUGCUAGGAUCGAUCGAUUGGAUAGGAUCUGUGCAGGCAGCUGGUCGAGGCCGCCGGGGGGAUGAUUCGCCGUACUUGCUCCAUCUCCAUUGACCGGAUAUCGAUGGAUGGAUGGAUGGAUCAACAAACAACAAGGGGAUUGGAGCUAAUUAAGCCUUCUUUCUCUCUCUGUCUCUCCAUGAAGGCCGGCCCCGGGCUCAGGCUGUUGUGCCGACACCUGAGGGGACGGCGGCAGCGACAGUAAGUCGAUCGCCAGCAGUACGCCUGGUUGUAGUUAACUGAUUAUUAAUUCCUUCCGGCACUUCUAGGAAAGCUGCAGCGCUGUAGGCAUGGAUGUUGCGAGCUACUGCUCCAUCAGUCAUAAAACAAGUCUCUUCUUUUUUAAGUAUUUGGAUAUAAUUUUUGACUCUUUUAUCUUAUUUGAAUUUUUUUCGAUUAAUAUAUAUUGUUAUUAUACGAUAAAUCAUGACUAAUACUUUACGUGUG
This 1048-nucleotide long non-coding RNA is filed under the name Oryza brachyantha (malo sina). Its description in RNAcentral is "long non-coding RNA (OBRA_LNC000533)". The record is from RNAcentral. Lineage: Eukaryota; Viridiplantae; Streptophyta; Magnoliopsida; Poales; Poaceae.